AGAAUCAACGCUGGCGGCGUGCCUAACACAUGCAAGUCGCACGAGAACGGGGACUUCGGUCCUUUAGUAAAGUGGCGCACGGGUGAGUAACACGUGAAUCAUCUACCUUCGAGUGUGGAAUAACUGAGAGAAAUCUUAGCUAAUACCGCAUAAUACCUACGGGUCAAAGCAGCAAUGCGCUUGAAGAGGAGUUCGCGGCAGAUUAGUUAGUUGGCGGGGUAAUGGCCCACCAAGACGAUGAUCUGUA
This 247-nucleotide ribosomal RNA is filed under the name uncultured bacterium. Its description in RNAcentral is "partial small subunit ribosomal RNA". It matches the Rfam family "Bacterial small subunit ribosomal RNA", at positions 26 to 285 of the family's 1533-position model. The record is from RNAcentral.